GUCUACAGCCAUGCUAUCCUGAACAAGCCCCGUUUGCUCUCAGAAGCUAAGCAGGGUCGGGCCUGGUUAGUACUUAGAUGGUAGACCACCUAGGAAGACCAGGUGCUGUAGGCG
Molecule: ribosomal RNA, 114 nt
Filed under: Pteropus alecto (black flying fox)
Lineage: Eukaryota; Metazoa; Chordata; Mammalia; Chiroptera; Pteropodidae
Source: RNAcentral